This 366-nucleotide ribosomal RNA is filed under the name uncultured bacterium. RNAcentral's name for it is "bacterial SSU rRNA". It matches the Rfam family "Bacterial small subunit ribosomal RNA", at positions 29 to 423 of the family's 1533-position model. The record is from RNAcentral.
AACGAACGCUGGCGGCAGGCCUAACACAUGCAAGUCGAACGCUCCGCAAGGGGGAGUGGCGCACGGGUGAGUAACACGUGGGAACCUACCUUCUGGUACGGAACAACCAAGAGAAACUUCGGCUAAGACCGUAUACGACCUCCGGGUGAAAGAUUGAUCGCCGGAAGAGGGGCCCGCGUCCGAUUAGGUAGUUGGUGAGGUAACGGCUCACCAAGCCUUCGAUCGGUAGCUGGUCUGAGAGGAUGACCAGCCACACUGGGACUGAGACACGGCCCAGACUCCUGCGGGAGGCAGCAGUGGGGAAUAUUGGACAAUGGGCGCAAGCCUGAUCCAGCCAUGCCGCGUGAGUGAUGAAGGCCUUCGGUU